Molecule: ribosomal RNA, 488 nt
Filed under: uncultured bacterium
Lineage: Bacteria
Description: bacterial SSU rRNA
Rfam family: Bacterial small subunit ribosomal RNA
Source: RNAcentral
AUUGAACGCUGGCGGUAUGCUUAACACAUGCAAGUCGAACGGCAGCGCGGGUAGCUUGCUACCUGGCGGCGAGUGGCGGACGGGUGAGUAAUGCGUAGGAAUCUACCUUAAAGUGGGGGAUAACUCGGGGGAAACUCGAGCUAAUACCGCAUAAGCACUACGGUGUAAAGCAGGGGACCUUCGGGCCUUGUGCUUUAAGAUGAGCCUACGUCGGAUUAGCUUGUUGGUGGGGUAAUGGCCUACCAAGGCAACGAUCCGUAGCUGGUCUGAGAGGACGAUCAGCCACACUGGGACUGAGACACGGCCCAGACUCCUACGGGAGGCAGCAGUGGGAAUAUUGGACAAUGGGCGCAAGCCUGAUCCAGCAAUACCGCGUGUGUGAAGAAGGCCUUCGGGUUGUAAAGCACUUUCAGCAGGGAGGAAAAGCUCAAGAUUAAUACUCUUGAGCCGUGACGUUACCUGCAGAAGAAGCACCGGCUAACUCUGUG